GGAAAAGGCAGACUGUGGGAAGGGUCCUUCUGGGCAGAAGGGUAGGUCGUUCUGAUACCCAGAAGUUCUCUGUCAAAAUCUGACUUUGAGGCAAAUCAAAACUAGACUUUCAGAAGCGAUGGAGACAGGAUCCAGAAGACUGAGGUGAAAUGCUUAACAGUCAGACGGUACAGCACCGCCGCCAUGAAGAAGCCAAACACCACAGCCUCCUCAGCCCCGCACGUAGAUGGGCUCACUCUGGACGUGGUCCGCCCCCGCCGAGGCAUUGUCCUGAACGUUGUCCAGCUCUUAGCACCGUUUGACCUGGACACAGUCUCCACCCCAGGUGGGGCUCGUCCUCCACGUAGCCCCGCCCCGUGUGUGCCUCGACCUGGACGUGGCCCGCCCCUGAGCGUGGCUCACCCUGGGAGUAAUACCGCCCCUGGGUGUGGCUUCCCGAGAUGAAGCCCGCCCCUGGAUGCAGUCCCCUCCUGGACAUGACCCGUCACAGGGUGCGGCUAACCCCGUACGUAGCCACACCCCCAGGUGCGACUCGCUCUGUGCGUGGCUCCGCCCCCAGAGAAGGCGGGUAGGAACCUCUACUUCGGAAUCCCAUCCGUUACUGGCUCUUCUGACUAGAAGUUUCUGAACUCUGCUGGCGUGCCAGACUGUAUUGAGGUUGCCCUUCUAUGAGAGGGUAUUAGAAAGCUGCAUUGAGAUUGCAGUCCAAGAAAGCAGAGGAGUAAGAGACCUUACUUUUGUCUGGUUGCAAGAAUUCAGCUAGAUAGCUAUCCAAUUAUUCUGAACACCUGAAAAAUCAAGGGGAGAUCAAAGAAAAGAGUACCUGCAACUCUACAAACAGAAAAGAGACCAUGUUCUGCCAGUAAGCUGCCAUGCUGGAGAAGCCCACUUGAUAAGGAACCAGCCAGAUUCAGGCAAGAGCCAGCAAGGUAUUGAGGAUCUCAUUCCAACAGACGUUGAGGAACUGCAUCCUGCCAGCAACUAUGUGACUGAGUACAGAAGUUGGUCCUUCCCCAGUCAAGCCUCCAGAUGAGAAUGUAGUAGCCUCAGCUGACACCUUAAAUGCAACCUUGAAGCAGAUAAUCCAGGUAGGCCUCUCCCGAAUUUCUGACCCACAAAAGCCAUGAUAUAUGUAUUUUUUAACCCACUAAAUUUUGUUAAUAUCCAUUACACCCCAAUAGAUAAUUAAUGCA
Molecule: long non-coding RNA, 1193 nt
Organism: Mustela lutreola (European mink)
Lineage: Eukaryota; Metazoa; Chordata; Mammalia; Carnivora; Mustelidae
Exons: 3
Source: RefSeq, a predicted model, not a curated record